GUGCUCACUUUGGCAGCACAUACGCUAAAAUUGGAAAGAUACAGAGAAGAUCAGCAUGGUCUCUGCACAAGGAUGACCUGAAAAUCCAUUAACAACACAUGAAAUAU
Molecule: small nuclear RNA, 107 nt
Organism: Cynocephalus volans (Philippine flying lemur)
Lineage: Eukaryota; Metazoa; Chordata; Mammalia; Dermoptera; Cynocephalidae
Source: RefSeq, a predicted model, not a curated record